Molecule: long non-coding RNA, 666 nt
Filed under: Nicotiana benthamiana
Lineage: Eukaryota; Viridiplantae; Streptophyta; Magnoliopsida; Solanales; Solanaceae
Description: long non-coding RNA (NBEN_LNC031446)
Source: RNAcentral
UCAAGUUUAAAUAGAUCUGGGAUUAUAAAGGCAGCUACAGAGAUGUUUAGCAAGUAAGCAUUUGGGUUUCAACCCAAAUAAUUUCAGAGCUUUCACUCAACUCCACAAACAAUCAGAGAAAAAAUAUCAUUAUGAAGAAGGUUUAUUAGUACAAUAUUGCAAGAGAGUAACAAAACAGUAGAUAGUACUAACGAAAUGCCAGAAAAUUCAGAGAAGCAGUUCCAUGACACCAUUCAUUGAAUAACAAAUGAAAACUUAAAACAAGUUCAAAGCUAAUAGGCUGGAGCAAUAGACACAACACUAAUCAGGAACAAACAUCAUAUCUCAUUUAUGAACAUCAACAUGAAUGAUCCUAGAUGAAGAACUACAUACCUAUAGCAUCAAAAACCAAAGGGAAACAAAAUAAAACUCUGCCUGAAGCUAGAAAGGAAACAACAACAAGAACUAGCAACACAACGCAAGCACCACAACAGGAAAUCGGCCAAAACCAAAGAACAACAGCUGACUUGAACUCUCCCAAAAUCAAAAUAAACAGUACUAGAGUGAACCAGUAUAGAAACUUUUCAAAAGUUGAUUUUUGAGAGCAAGAAAAUGUAGGGAGAUUUUUCUUUUUUUCUAAUGUGUAUUCAAAGAAUUCUUUUUAGGUUAAUAUGCUAAUGAAUGUGU